Long non-coding RNA from Apis florea (little honeybee), 1668 nucleotides. The record is from RefSeq and is a predicted model, not a curated record. Lineage: Eukaryota; Metazoa; Arthropoda; Insecta; Hymenoptera; Apidae.
CCUUUUUGUUAGAAAUAAUAAUAUUUAAAGUUUUUUACUUUCUCCAUUUAACACAAUAAACUUUUUAUAUAUACGUAGCAGUAAAUCAAGAAGAAUUUUAUAUUUCGUUGUGUAAAACGAAAUCCAGGUGACGGAAAAGUAGAGAGAUGUGUAGCAGGCCAGGAAGGAGACCAAGUUUUUUCACCUUCACGGAGGAUCGAGAAUGAUUUAAAAUCAUCAGUGUACGAUUGAUUGGUCAAAAUAACAAAGAAGAAAAUGAUGCGAUGAUUAAAUUAAACGAAGGAUGAGUUCGAGUUAAUCGAUGAACGAAAACAGACACCGAUUUAAUUUACUCUUUCUCCAUCUCUCUCUCUGGGAUUGUUCCCACGGAACAGCGCUGCUAUGCUGAAUGAAUAAUGUUCUUGCAAGACGGUUUGUCAAAAAAAGAAAGAAAAAGCGUCAUCAGGAAACAGAGGUAAUGUCUCGCUCUUUUUCUACGCAACACAAUGAAUCAUGCUCACGCCACGAAUAUGCAAAACGUGAAAAAAAAGGAAAUCGAAUCACGAUCUACAUCUUUCGAAAAUUUCGCAAUUGGAAAUGCAUCAAAAUAAUAAAUGAUUCCCUCCCGUAAUUUCUAUUUCUCGAUCAGGCGAGGGAUUGUUAAAAAAAAUUCAAAAUUUAAUUUAUACGAUAAUUCGCGACACACGUGAUUCCAGUUCAAAGCCGUUCCUCUAUACUUUUUAUUUGAACAAGUCGCGCGAUCAGUUACUGCGAAAGCAAUUAUCGAUUAUCCGCAGGUAAUUUUCCAUUAACCGAAGGCAUCGACGAAAAAAGCAAUUUGAAAGGAAGCGUAGACAGACGAAACACUCUUUUCGAGAAUCCGUUAUUAUAAAUACACGAGACGACGAUUCAAUAUCAAGUGAAAUUAUCAAAUGAAAAUGCGCAUCCAAUGAAAUGAGUUUGAGUGAGUUUCGAGGGAUGAUCAAAGCGAGACGGCAUCGCCCUCUUUUGAGCGCUGUGGGAUAAAUUGGCGGGCGACGACUAAUCGUGGCGUGACUAAUCGGUGCACAUUGCAAAGAUCCUUUUCCUGUUCGACUAUCGGCCGUGCUUCAACGGAUUAUAUUGCAAAUAGUGAGAAAACAAUUCUCGAAUGGCGAACUCGUUUGCGAUGAUUUUGAAGAAUAAAAAUUGAAAUCAAAAUAAAAUGAUUGAUGUUCACGGUUGUAAGGUUAGGUAGCUCGAGUGAAAUAUUUCGAUGUAUCUACGAUGUGAAUACGUUGAAGGAAAGCUUAUUCUUUUCUUUUCAUUGAGUUUUUUAAACGGAAUUAUCCACGUCAUGUGGCAACAUCCGGGCAUACGGUCUCGAUUAAAAUGCGUUCUUGAAAACAAGUUCAUGCACUCGCGUGAAUAAUAACGGUAGCGUUAAUGAUAUCGUCUGUCUAUGAAAAUUCAAAUAUAUUUAACGUUUAUACACUCUCUCCUAUUCAUAAUUUUGCAAUUUACUUAAUCACAAUGGAGCAGGAAUAAUCCACUGUUUUCUUGUGAAACACUAUUUUUAUUAAUUUGAAAUAUUAACAAACAAUAGAUGUGCGUGGCGAAUAGGCAAAUAUUUGUUUCUCUAUUAAAUCCUGAAAUAUCAUUUUAUGACGGUAUGACAUUAACAUACGGCAUUGGUAUAAUUUUAGCAUA